Xenopus laevis (African clawed frog) is the source of this 112-nucleotide small nuclear RNA. The record is from RefSeq and is a predicted model, not a curated record. NCBI's taxonomy places the organism in Eukaryota, Metazoa, Chordata, Amphibia, Anura, Pipidae.
GUGCUCAGCUUCCGGCCAGCACAUAUACUAAGAAUGGAACGAUAAACAGAGAAAUAUCAUGGCCCCUGCGCAAAGGAUGACACGCAAAUUCGUUGAAGCGCUUUCCAUAUUU